GAACCUGACAUUCGUGCCGCUCGCCGAACGGGGCAAAGCGCCUUCUUCGAUCCGCGCUGCCUGACGGAGUUUAUAUGCCUUAUCUCGUUGCAUCCGAUCUUCCGUCCGAAAGCGCGGGCCGCCGUUUCCGCAGCUUGCUGAAGCGUCCCGACAUUCUGCGUUUGCCGGGCGCGCAUAACGGCAUGGCCGCACUGCAGGCCAAGGCCGCGGGCUUCG
RNAcentral lists this unclassified non-coding RNA (216 nucleotides) under Hevea brasiliensis (rubber tree). Lineage: Eukaryota; Viridiplantae; Streptophyta; Magnoliopsida; Malpighiales; Euphorbiaceae. The record is from RNAcentral.